GACAGAGGUGCCAAGCGUUAGGCGGAAUCACUGGGCUUAAAGCGUGUGUAGGCGGAUCGUUAAGUCCCUUGUGAAAUCCCACGGCUCAACCGUGGAACUGCUGGGUAUACUGGCGGUCUUGAGCCACCUAGGGGCAACUGGAACAAGCGGUGGAGCGGUGAAAUGCGUAGAUAUCAUGAGGAAGACCAGUGGCGAAGGCGGGUCUCUGGACAGUUCCUGACACUGAGACACGAAGGCCAGGGGAGCAAACGGG
RNAcentral lists this ribosomal RNA (253 nucleotides) under uncultured bacterium. RNAcentral's name for it is "partial 16S ribosomal RNA". It matches the Rfam family "Bacterial small subunit ribosomal RNA", at positions 524 to 776 of the family's 1533-position model. The record is from RNAcentral.